Dermacentor silvarum is the source of this 343-nucleotide long non-coding RNA. RefSeq lists it as uncharacterized. Lineage: Eukaryota; Metazoa; Arthropoda; Arachnida; Ixodida; Ixodidae. The transcript has 3 exons. The record is from RefSeq and is a predicted model, not a curated record.
GGCCGGACAGGUCAAGUGACGGCGCAAGGUCAAGUCGUGCGGAGAGGCCCCACCCACCGUCUCCUUCCAACCGGCACUCCAUCGUCGCCACUAACAAGGCAAACGUCAACAACCGGCUCCAGUUUCGGGACUCUCCACGCGCCUGUGAGCAGUCGCCUUGUUCCGGCGUCCGGAGUAUAAUGCCUGCACCGUGAGGAAUCGAGGUCAUGGCUUCUAUUACAGCAGCAGUGCCCGGCGGAGGCGUGGCCCCCCCAGCGCGCACUUCCUUCGCCCAGGCUCUUCAGCAGCGGGCGGUGUCCCAGACGCGCCCUACUGCGGUGCCCCCAGUCCCGUCACCCAGCCC